AUUGAACGCUGGCGGCAUGCCUUACACAUGCAAGUCGAACGGUAACAGGUUAAGCUGACGAGUGGCGAACGGGUGAGUAAUGUAUCGGAACGUGCCCAGUCGUGGGGGAUAACUGCUCGAAAGAGCAGCUAAUACCGCAUACGACCUGAGGGUGAAAGCGGGGGAUCGCAAGACCUCGCGCGAUUGGAGCGGCCGAUAUCAGAUUAGGUAGUUGGUGAGGUAAAGGCUCACCAAGCCGACGAUCUGUAGCUGGUCUGAGAGGACGAGCAGCCACACUGGGACUGAGACACGGCCCAGACUCCUACGGGAGGCAGCAGUGGGGAAUUUUGGACAAUGGGCGCAAGCCUGAUCCAGCCAUGCCGCGUGCGGGAAGAAGGCCUUCGGGUUGUAAACCGCUUUUGUCAGGGAAGAAAAGGUUCUGGCUAAUACCUGGGACUCAUGACGGUACCUGAAGAAUAAGCACCGGCUAACUACGUG
Molecule: ribosomal RNA, 477 nt
Filed under: uncultured bacterium
Lineage: Bacteria
Description: partial 16S ribosomal RNA
Rfam family: Bacterial small subunit ribosomal RNA
Source: RNAcentral